Molecule: ribosomal RNA, 770 nt
Filed under: uncultured archaeon
Lineage: Archaea
Description: bacterial SSU rRNA
Rfam family: Archaeal small subunit ribosomal RNA
Source: RNAcentral
CUCAGUAACACGUGGAUAACCUACCCUUAGGACCGGAAUAACCCCGGGAAACUGGGGAUAAUACCGGAUAAGCCAUAGACGCUGGAAUGCCCUAUGGUUCAAAGCUCCGGCGCCUAAGGAUGGAUCUGCGGUCUAUCAGGUUGUAGUGGGUGUAACGUACCUACUAGCCGACGACGGAUACGGGUUGUGAGAGCAAGAGCCCGGAGAUGGAUUCUGAGACACGAAUCCAGGCCCUACGGGGUGCAGCAGGCGCGAACACUUUACAAUGCAGGAAACCGCGAUAAGGGAACCCCGAGUGCCAGCAUCAAAUGUUGGCUGUCCAGAUGAUUAAAAAUCAUUUGUUAGCAAGGGCCGGGCAAGACCGGUGCCAGCCGCCGCGGUAACACCGGCGGCCCGAGUGGUAGCCGUUUUUAUUGGGUCUAAAGGGUCCGUAGCCGGCCUGAUAAGUCCUUUGGGAAAUCUGGCAGCUUAACUGUCAGGCUUCUAAGGGAUACUGUCAGGCUUGGGACCGGAAGAGGUAAGGGGUACUCCAGGGGUAGGAGUGAAAUCUUGUAAUCCCUGGCGGACCAUCUGUGGCGAAGGCGCCUUACCAGAACGGGUCCGACGGUGAGGGACGAAAGCUAGGGGAGCAAACCGGAUUAGAUACCCGGGUAGUCCUAGCUGUAAACGAUGCUCGCUAGGUGUCAGACACGGUGCGACCGUGUUUGGUGCCGCAGGGAAGCCGUUAAGCGAGCCACCUGGGAAGUACGGUCGCAAGGCUGAAACUAAAG